AUGAGCACUGCGGGGGAAUGCUUUGCUGAAAUUCGUAGAUUGAACGAUGAAGCGGACGACAAUUAUAAACAGUCUAUUGCUUUAAAAAUGAGAUUGGAUCAAAUCGUCGGUCAUGAAAUUCCAAAACUUCUCAAAGCAAUUAAAGCAUGUAAAAAUUAUAACCCUCUUACAAACUCAACUCACUAUCAGAUAGGUAGAGGGUUGCACAAGCGGGGUAGAAGAAAGCAAAAGAAGCUCACACCUAGAGAACUGUACUGGAAAAGGAGACGUAGAUUGAUAACAAAGGCGAGAAAAACUCUUGCCAGGUCCAGAAGUAAACAAAAACAUAAAAGCAAUAGAGACUCAAUGAGGUCAGACCCGGCUUCUUCUUCCAGUACAGACACCCAGAGGGAUGGACAUUCUCCUGAACCUCAACAGGUAGAAUCCCCAUCUAACGAGGUUGAGUACCGACCUCAACAGGAAGACACCUCUGGUGAGGAGGAUGAUGGGUCACCCCCUGUGCUUGCAGAAUGCGUGCACAGGUGGCAAUUUACCUUUCCUAGUUAUAACACAUUGCGGAUCGGGGAGGUAUACCGUUUCAGAAAUUUAGAAACCGUGAGGUCAUAUGCACAGGUUAUAAAUGCAUUAUACACAGCGAUCCAGGGCAUCUUAGACAAUCUGAACCAGAGAAUUGAUCCCGAAGAUUUUGUUCAGGUGAGAUUAGAAGCCUCAGGGUUACGAAAUCCACUCUUCUCUUUUAAAAGAAGUAGGGAUCUCUUUAAUGCUGAGGAGUUUCUAGUCCAGCUGAGUCGUCUAUUACAGAGCAAUAUGGAAAUCUGCGCUCAUGGUGAUUUUGAGCUCGUGGUCACUAUAACAAAACCGCCACAAGGUGGAGCACGUCGAAAACUGAGUUCCAUUCCAGCCAGUGAAAUAAUUGCUAGGAAGAGACAGUAUCUGAUAGACCUGAAUUAUGCAGGUGGCAAUAUGUGUUUUGCUGGAGCUUUAUUUGGUGUUAUGAGUUUACAUAAACCCACAGAUUCAGAAAUGUUGACAGCUGCUCAAAAACUGCAUAUGGAACUCGGAUGGUCUGAUCAAAAAAAGGUAACCCUUAAUGAUAUUUCUACUGUUGAACAACAUUUAAGAGUCAAUAUCGAUGUUGCUUAUUACUCAAAAAAGUCAGAGUGGGCUCUGUUUAAAACACAGGGCCCCAUUUAUCCUCAAGCCUAUACUCUACUCUUACAUGAUGAGCAUUUCUAUGGGGUUCUGAAUGUAAAAGCGCUAUUUGGCAUCCGAAACUACUGUCAAUUUUGUCGCAAACUCUAUAAUCAUGACCAUCAUUCAUGUCUAUUUUAUUGCAGAAUGUGUUUGAGAAAGGGGUGUGAUAAUGUGAUAGGGAAACAGGUUCGAUGCCCCCGAUGUAAGUUUCAUUGUAGGUCUGAGGCUUGCUUAAAAUUACACCAACAGCUGGGUUUAGAGAAGAAAGUCAAAUGUCUAGCGAGAAUGUAUUGUACAAAGUGUCGAUAUUAUCAGGAGCUGGAUCACGAUGAUGAAAAGUGUAAAGGGAGACAGUGUACGGUCUGCUGGGGUUACAUUGUUGAAGAUGAGGGUCAUUUGUGUUACAUGCAACCGCUUAAACAGCCAAAGCUUUCUGUGAAAUAUUUAUUUUACGAUUUUGAAUGUCACCAGAGUACGGGGGCUCACGUGCCGAAUUUUUGCUUUGUAAAAGCUUAUUCUGGGGAGACUGUGGAGUGUUUUAAACCAGAUUUUGUGGAGGAGAAUAGUGGGUCUGAAGACAGUGAUGGUGAAAUUGAGGUGGAAGGGGAAAGGGAGCCAUGGAAGUUUGCAGGCAAAACCUGGGAAUUUAAGGGCGAAAACUGUAUGUGA
RNAcentral lists this long non-coding RNA (1863 nucleotides) under Anolis carolinensis (green anole). RNAcentral's name for it is "lncRNA (ENSACAG00000041052.1)". Lineage: Eukaryota; Metazoa; Chordata; Lepidosauria; Squamata; Anolidae. The record is from RNAcentral.